Molecule: ribosomal RNA, 265 nt
Filed under: uncultured bacterium
Lineage: Bacteria
Description: partial 16S ribosomal RNA
Rfam family: Bacterial small subunit ribosomal RNA
Source: RNAcentral
UUCGAGUGGCGGACGGGUGAGUAACGCGUGGGUAACCUGCCUUACACAGGGGGAUAACACCUGGAAACAGGUGCUAAUACCGCAUAAGCGCACAGGGCCGCAUGGCCCGGUGUGAAAAACUCCGGUGGUGUAAGAUGGACCCGCGUCUGAUUAGCUUGUUGGCGGGGUAGGGGCCCACCAAGGCGACGAUCAGUAGCCGGCCUGAGAGGGUGGACGGCCACAUUGGGACUGAGACACGGCCCAAACUCCGUACGGGAGGCAGCAG